RNAcentral lists this ribosomal RNA (1969 nucleotides) under Enterococcus faecium. RNAcentral describes it as "bacterial LSU rRNA". It matches the Rfam family "Bacterial large subunit ribosomal RNA", at positions 1 to 1982 of the family's 2925-position model. The record is from RNAcentral. Lineage: Bacteria; Bacillati; Bacillota; Bacilli; Lactobacillales; Enterococcaceae.
UUAAGUGAAUAAGGGCGCACGGUGGAUGCCUUGGCACUAGGAGCCGAUGAAGGACGGGACUAACACCGAUAUGCUUUGGGGAGCUGUACGUAAGCUAUGAUCCAGAGAUUUCCGAAUGGGGGAACCCAGCAUCUUUAAUAGGAUGUUACGAUUGUGUGAAUACAUAGCACAUUCGAGGUAGACGCAGAGAACUGAAACAUCUAAGUACCUGCAGGAAGAGAAAGAAAAUUCGAUUCCCUGAGUAGCGGCGAGCGAAACGGGAAAAGCCCAAACCAACAAGCUUGCUUGUUGGGGUUGUAGGACUCCAAUAUGGUCGUUCUUUCAGAUAGUCGAAUGACUUGGAAAAGUCAGUCAAAGAGGGUAAAAACCCCGUAGACGAAAUGUGGAAGACACCUAGGAGGAUCCUGAGUACGGCGGAACACGAGAAAUUCCGUCGGAAUCCGGGAGGACCAUCUCCCAAGGCUAAAUACUCCCUAGUGACCGAUAGUGAACCAGUACCGUGAGGGAAAGGUGAAAAGCACCCCGGAAGGGGAGUGAAAUAGAACCUGAAACCGUGUGCCUACAACAAGUCAAAGCCCGUUAAUGGGUGAUGGCGUGCCUUUUGUAGAAUGAACCGGCGAGUUACGAUUGCAUGCGAGGUUAAGUUGAAGAGACGGAGCCGCAGCGAAAGCGAGUCUGAAUAGGGCGAAUGAGUAUGUAGUCGUAGACCCGAAACCAUGUGAUCUACCCAUGUCCAGGUUGAAGGUGCGGUAAAACGCACUGGAGGACCGAACCCACGUACGUUGAAAAGUGCGGGGAUGAGGUGUGGGUAGCGGAGAAAUUCCAAACGAACUUGGAGAUAGCUGGUUCUCUCCGAAAUAGCUUUAGGGCUAGCCUCGGAAUUGAGAAUGAUGGAGGUAGAGCACUGUUUGGACUAGGGGCCCAUCUCGGGUUACCGAAUUCAGAUAAACUCCGAAUGCCAUUCAUUCAUAUCCGGGAGUCAGACUGCGAGUGAUAAGAUCCAUAGUCGAAAGGGAAACAGCCCAGACCACCAGCUAAGGUCCCAAAAUAUAUGUUAAGUGGAAAAGGAUGUGGGGUUGCACAGACAACUAGGAUGUUGGCUUAGAAGCAGCCACCAUUUAAAGAGUGCGUAAUAGCUCACUAGUCGAGUGACCCUGCGCCGAAAAUGUACCGGGGCUAAACAUAUUACCGAAGCUGUGGAGUACACCUUUAGGUGUAUUGGUAGGAGAGCGUUCUAAGGGCGUCGAAGGCAGAUCGUGAGGACUGCUGGAGCGCUUAGAAGUGAGAAUGCCGGUAUGAGUAGCGAAAGACAGGUGAGAAUCCUGUCCACCGAAUGACUAAGGUUUCCUGGGGAAGGCUCGUCCGCCCAGGGUUAGUCGGGACCUAAGCCGAGGCCGAUAGGCGUAGGCGAUGGAUAACAGGUUGAUAUUCCUGUACCCGUUGUUUUUGUUUGAGCAAUGGAGGGACGCAGGAGGCUAAGGAAUGCAGACGAUCGGAAAUGUCUGUCCAAGCAGUAAGUCUGAAGAGGAGUCAAAUGCUUCUUUUCUUAAGGACAAGCUGUGAUGGGGAGGGAAAUAAUAGUACCGAAGUUCCUGAUGUCACACUGCCGAGAAAAGCUUCUAGUGAGAAAACAGCGGCCCGUACCGCAAACCGACACAGGUAGUCGAGGAGAGAAUCCUAAGGUGAGCGAGAGAACUCUCGUUAAGGAACUCGGCAAAAUGACCCCGUAACUUCGGGAGAAGGGGUGCUGAUCAUACGAUCAGCCGCAGUGAAUAGGCCCAAGCGACUGUUUAUCAAAAACACAGGUCUCUGCAAAAUCGUAAGAUGAAGUAUAGGGGCUGACGCCUGCCCGGUGCUGGAAGGUUAAGAGGAGUGCUUAGCGCAAGCGAAGGUACGAAUUGAAGCCCCAGUAAACGGCGGCCGUAACUAUAACGGUCCUAAGGUAGCGAAAUUCCUUGUCGGGUAAGUU